CUCGAAUCGUGGUAUUGGAACGGCUCAAUCAGAUGAGAAGUCCUUAGAAGAGCAGGUCUUAUAAUCAGAUUGAGCCGCGCCAAUAUCACGUUGCUUCGC
Non-coding RNA from Amborella trichopoda, 99 nucleotides. The record is from Rfam. NCBI's taxonomy places the organism in Eukaryota, Viridiplantae, Streptophyta, Magnoliopsida, Amborellales, Amborellaceae.